This 292-nucleotide ribosomal RNA is filed under the name uncultured Bacteroidota bacterium. RNAcentral's name for it is "uncultured Bacteroidetes bacterium partial 16S ribosomal RNA". Lineage: Bacteria; Pseudomonadati; Bacteroidota. The record is from RNAcentral.
GGACUACCAGGGUAUCUAAUCCUGUUUGAUCCCCACGCUAUCGUGCCUCAGCGUCGGUACGUCCCCAGCGAGCUGCCUUCGCUAUCGGCGUUCUGGUAGAUAUCUAUGCAUUUCACCGCUACACCUUCCAUUCCGCCCGCCCAGAGACGACCCAAGCCGCCCAGUAUCGGGGGCACUCCACGGGUUGAGCCCGUGGGUUUCACCCCCGACUUAGGCGGCCGCCUACGCACCCUUUAAACCCAAUAAAUCCGGACAACGCUCGCACCCUCCGUAUUACCGCGGCGGCUGGCAC